Molecule: unclassified non-coding RNA, 251 nt
Filed under: Hevea brasiliensis (rubber tree)
Lineage: Eukaryota; Viridiplantae; Streptophyta; Magnoliopsida; Malpighiales; Euphorbiaceae
Source: RNAcentral
GGGCACGCUGCUUGAGUGGCUCUUUUAUCUUUUUGGGAGGGCUGCCCAAAUCGCAAGGUAUUAGUUUUGAAUAAAUUGGUCUCAUCUUAUUAUCAAUCCAAAUGUACAAUAGAACUGAAAAUGCCAGCCGCAUAGACCACACAACUGCUGUCGCGACAGUAGAAUAAACUUCAGCAGGGAUGUUAUUCACAUUAUACACAUCAACAUUUACAAGUUGUUGAUGCAACUUCCUCCAAACAUCAUUCCAUCUA